Molecule: long non-coding RNA, 576 nt
Organism: Coregonus clupeaformis (lake whitefish)
Lineage: Eukaryota; Metazoa; Chordata; Actinopteri; Salmoniformes; Salmonidae
Exons: 3
Source: RefSeq, a predicted model, not a curated record
UUCAGAUGUAAGAAACGCCCCCGCACCGCAUCAAUAUCAAUUUUGACAUCGACUUAACUUGGAGGGCUUCGAGGACAUGUCUACAUGAGACGCGCGAUACGGGCGAAUACACCUUUCAUUUACCUCGACAGUGGAAAUUCAACUUUAAUAUGCCGAAUAUGCGUUCAUAAGCUUGACGCAUGACCAAACAAUGAAACUUGUCUAGCUCUGGCUUUUUACAAGUGAAGAGGAUAUCCAUUGAAUAAUAUAUCUGAAAAUGAAUCUGAUUAUUCGUAUGUUUAUACUGUUCAUCGCUUCAGCGGUCAAUACAACUGACAAUAUCGACUUUUGCCCAACUUUUUGCGACUGCACCAAAUGGGAAAGUACGAAAACAGUGUCAUGCUUCGAAACUGACGUCCUACCUGCAUUCCAUCCCAGCACCAAAGAGUUGUGGCUUGUGGAGACAAGACUGACCUCCAUAUCUCAGGAUGCCUUCGCCAACUUGGUCAACAUCUCUCACAUUUACAUCUCAGAUGAUGAAAGCCUGAGGAGUCUGGAGAGGCACUCGUUUCACAAGCUACCUAAGGCUAUCCACAU